UGAUGACUGUUCGUCUUACUGCCAUGAGCCAUGGGCAGUGGGAUUUUGUGUCAUCGCAGAUUAAACUUGGCCUUUUCUUCACUCAGAAUGCUCCUGGAUGGGUUUGGUCAUCCAUUGGCACGUCUGAAUUUUGCGGGGUCAGACACUC
Small nucleolar RNA from Gopherus agassizii (Agassiz's desert tortoise), 148 nucleotides. The record is from Ensembl. Lineage: Eukaryota; Metazoa; Chordata; Testudines; Testudinidae.